UUGGAGGGCAAGUCUGGUGCCAGCAGCCGCGGUAAUUCCAGCUCCAAUGGCGUAUAUUAAAGUUGUUGCAGUUAAAAAGCUCGUAGUUGAAUUUCAGGCCUGGCUGGACGGUCCGCCCUUCGGGUGAGUACUGUCUGUGGUCGGGUCCUACCUUCUGGCGAAGCGUCAUGGCCUUAACCGGCCGUGGCGGGGAACCAGGACUUUUACUGUGAAAAAAUUAGAGUGUUCAAAGCAGGCAAUCGCUUGGAUACAUUAGCAUGGAAUAAUGGAAUAGGACAAUGGUUCUAUUUGUUGGUUUCUAGGACCGUUGUAAUGAUUAAUAGGGAUAGUUGGGGGCAUUAGUAUUCAAUUGUCAGAGGUGAAAUUCUUGGAUUUAUUGAAGACUAACUACUGCGAAAGCAUUUGCCAAGGAUGUUUUCAUUAAUCAAGAACGAAAGUUAGGGGAUCGAAGACGAUCAGAUACCGUCGUAGUCUUAACCAUAAACUAUGCCGACUAGGAAUCGGGCGAUGUUGAAAAAAUGACGCGCUCGGCACCCUAUGGGAAACCAAAG
Molecule: ribosomal RNA, 551 nt
Filed under: uncultured Paraglomus
Lineage: Eukaryota; Fungi; Glomeromycota; Glomeromycetes; Paraglomerales; Paraglomeraceae
Description: SSU rRNA
Rfam family: Eukaryotic small subunit ribosomal RNA
Source: RNAcentral